RNAcentral lists this ribosomal RNA (256 nucleotides) under uncultured bacterium. RNAcentral's name for it is "partial 16S ribosomal RNA". It matches the Rfam family "Bacterial small subunit ribosomal RNA", at positions 524 to 776 of the family's 1533-position model. The record is from RNAcentral.
UACGUAGGGGCCAAGCGUUGUCCGGAUUUAUUGGGCGUAAAGAGCUCGUAGGCGGUUUGGAUAGUCGGGUGUGAAAACUCCGAGCUCAACUCGGAGACGCCACCCGAUACUGCCAUGACUAGAGUCCGGUAGGGGAGCAGGGAAGUUCCUGGUGUAGCGGUGAAAUGCGCAGAUAUCAGGAGGAACACCGGUGGCGAAGGCGCUGCUCUGGGCCGGUAUUGACGCUGAGACGCGAAAGCGUGGGGAGGCAAACAGG